Molecule: ribosomal RNA, 440 nt
Filed under: uncultured bacterium
Lineage: Bacteria
Description: partial 16S ribosomal RNA
Rfam family: Bacterial small subunit ribosomal RNA
Source: RNAcentral
UCUACGGGUGGCAGCAGUGGGGGAUAUUGCACAAUGGGGGAAACCCUGAUGCAGCGACGCCGCGUGAGUGAAGAAGGAUUUCGGUAUGUAAAGCUCUAUCAGCAGGGAAGAAAAGGACAGUACCUGACCAAGAAGCCCCGGCUAACUACGUACCAGCAGCCGCGAUAAUACGGAAGGGGCAAGCGUUAUGCGGAUUUACUGGGUGUAAAGGGAGCGUAGGCGGUUAUGGAAGUCUGGAGUGAAAGCCAGGGGACCAACCCCGGGACUGCUUUGGAAACUGUGUAACUGGAGUACAGGAGGGGCAGGCGGAAUUCUUGGUGUAGCGGUGAAAUGCAUAGAUAUCAGGAGGAACACCGGCGGCGAAGGCAGCCUGCUGGACUGCAACUGACGUGGAGGCUCGAAAGCGUGGGGAGCGAACAGGAUUAGAUACCCUGGUAGUC